Molecule: ribosomal RNA, 626 nt
Filed under: uncultured Microbacterium sp.
Lineage: Bacteria; Bacillati; Actinomycetota; Actinomycetes; Micrococcales; Microbacteriaceae
Description: bacterial SSU rRNA
Rfam family: Bacterial small subunit ribosomal RNA
Source: RNAcentral
CCUACGGGAGGCAGCAGUGGGGAAUAUUGCACAAUGGGCGCAAGCCUGAUGCAGCAACGCCGCGUGAGGGAUGACGGCCUUCGGGUUGUAAACCUCUUUUAGCAGGGAAGAAGCGAAAGUGACGGUACCUGCAGAAAAAGCGCCGGCUAACUACGUGCCAGCAGCCGCGGUAAUACGUAGGGCGCAAGCGUUAUCCGGAAUUAUUGGGCGUAAAGAGCUCGUAGGCGGUUUGUCGCGUCUGCUGUGAAAUCCCGAGGCUCAACCUCGGGCCUGCAGUGGGUACGGGCAGACUAGAGUGCGGUAGGGGAGAUUGGAAUUCCUGGUGUAGCGGUGGAAUGCGCAGAUAUCAGGAGGAACACCGAUGGCGAAGGCAGAUCUCUGGGCCGUAACUGACGCUGAGGAGCGAAAGGGUGGGGAGCAAACAGGCUUAGAUACCCUGGUAGUCCACCCCGUAAACGUUGGGAACUAGUUGUGGGGUCCAUUCCACGGAUUCCGUGACGCAGCUAACGCAUUAAGUUCCCCGCCUGGGGAGUACGGCCGCAAGGCUAAAACUCAAAGGAAUUGACGGGGACCCGCACAAGCGGCGGAGCAUGCGGAUUAAUUCGAUGCAACGCGAAGAACCUUAC